This 50-nucleotide transfer RNA is filed under the name Ancashia alpaminae. Its description in RNAcentral is "Brayopsis alpaminae partial tRNA-Leu". The record is from RNAcentral. Lineage: Eukaryota; Viridiplantae; Streptophyta; Magnoliopsida; Brassicales; Brassicaceae.
AAAAUCCGUUGACUUUUAAAAUCGUGAGGGUUCCAGUCCCUCUAUCCCCA